AUGGUCCCUAAAGCAGCCUAGGCGAAUAUCCAGCGAAUAUCAAACCUAAAACUAACUUUACAGCGCUGUAGAACUGACAUUUGAAGUAAUGUUACUAUAGGACUGUGGUUAAGUAGAGCAUUAUUUGCUUGUUCAGUAAUUUUACUGUAUUGGUAACAGUUUUGCAGCGGGCUUUGCGAAAGUGCAAAAUGACCUUUGCUGUAAGAUGUGACCCUGAACUUUGAAACAUGUAUUUAAUUUUUAUACAAAUGAUCUUUGAAUGUGCCACAUUUAUCUUUAAUGACUGUUUGAAGAAUAAACACCAACCUCCUUGUUCCUCGUGUCUUAUUCUGCAGGUUUCUGUUUCCUCUUGUUUUAUUCUGCAGGUUUCUGGUUCCUCUUGUUUUAUUCUACAUGUUUCUGGUUCCUCUUGUUUUAUUCUCCAGGUUUCUGAUUCCUCGUGUCUUAUUCUGCAAGUUUCUGGUUCCUCUUGUUUUAUUCUCCAGGUUUCUGGUUCACUUGUGUUCUCUUCACUCUCCUCUUUAACAAACUCCAUCUUCACAGCAGCAGAUCUCAGUUCAGAUGACACUCCUCCAGAUAUUAUUCCUGCUUGAUUCAAAAUUUAGUCACAACUGUGAGGAUGAGAAUAUUACAG
This is a long non-coding RNA of Carassius gibelio (silver crucian carp), 634 nucleotides long. RefSeq lists it as uncharacterized. NCBI's taxonomy places the organism in Eukaryota, Metazoa, Chordata, Actinopteri, Cypriniformes, Cyprinidae. The record is from RefSeq and is a predicted model, not a curated record. The transcript is spliced from 3 exons.